This 678-nucleotide ribosomal RNA is filed under the name Escherichia coli. RNAcentral describes it as "partial 23S ribosomal RNA". It matches the Rfam family "Bacterial large subunit ribosomal RNA", at positions 1987 to 2664 of the family's 2925-position model. The record is from RNAcentral. Lineage: Bacteria; Pseudomonadati; Pseudomonadota; Gammaproteobacteria; Enterobacterales; Enterobacteriaceae.
CCUGCACGAAUGGCGUAAUGAUGGCCAGGCUGUCUCCACCCGAGACUCAGUGAAAUUGAACUCGCUGUGAAGAUGCAGUGUACCCGCGGCAAGACGGAAAGACCCCGUGAACCUUUACUAUAGCUUGACACUGAACAUUGAGCCUUGAUGUGUAGGAUAGGUGGGAGGCUUUGAAGUGUGGACGCCAGUCUGCAUGGAGCCGACCUUGAAAUACCACCCUUUAAUGUUUGAUGUUCUAACGUUGACCCGUAAUCCGGGUUGCGGACAGUGUCUGGUGGGUAGUUUGACUGGGGCGGUCUCCUCCUAAAGAGUAACGGAGGAGCACGAAGGUUGGCUAAUCCUGGUCGGACAUCAGGAGGUUAGUGCAAUGGCAUAAGCCAGCUUGACUGCGAGCGUGACGGCGCGAGCAGGUGCGAAAGCAGGUCAUAGUGAUCCGGUGGUUCUGAAUGGAAGGGCCAUCGCUCAACGGAUAAAAGGUACUCCGGGGAUAACAGGCUGAUACCGCCCAAGAGUUCAUAUCGACGGCGGUGUUUGGCACCUCGAUGUCGGCUCAUCACAUCCUGGGGCUGAAGUAGGUCCCAAGGGUAUGGCUGUUCGCCAUUUAAAGUGGUACGCGAGCUGGGUUUAGAACGUCGUGAGACAGUUCGGUCCCUAUCUGCCGUGGGCGCUGGAGAACUG